This 296-nucleotide ribosomal RNA is filed under the name Cryptosporidium parvum. RNAcentral's name for it is "partial 18S ribosomal RNA". It matches the Rfam family "Eukaryotic small subunit ribosomal RNA", at positions 465 to 784 of the family's 1831-position model. Lineage: Eukaryota; Apicomplexa; Conoidasida; Eucoccidiorida; Cryptosporidiidae. The record is from RNAcentral.
UAGUGACAAGAAAUAACAAUACAGGACUUUUUGGUUUUGUAAUUGGAAUGAGUUAAGUAUAAACCCCUUUACAAGUAUCAAUUGGAGGGCAAGUCUGGUGCCAGCAGCCGCGGUAAUUCCAGCUCCAAUAGCGUAUAUUAAAGUUGUUGCAGUUAAAAAGCUCGUAGUUGGAUUUCUGUUAAUAAUUUAUAUAAAAUAUUUUGAUGAAUAUUUAUAUAAUAUUAACAUAAUUCAUAUUACUAUAUAUUUUAGUAUAUGAAAUUUUACUUUGAGAAAAUUAGAGUGCUUAAAGCAGG